CAGCAGCAGCCGCGGGAAUACAGAGGGUGCGAGCGUUAAUCGGAUUUACUGGGCGUAAAGCGUGCGUAGGCGGCUAAUUGAGUCGGAUGUGAAAUCCCCGAGCUUAACUUGGGAAUUGCAUUCGAUACUGGUUAGCUAGAGUGUGGGAGAGGAUGGUAGAAUUCCAGGUGUAGCGGUGAAAUGCGUAGAGAUCUGGAGGAAUACCGAUGGCGAAGGCAGCCAUCUGGCCUAACACUGACGCUGAGGUACGAAAGCAUGGGGAGCAAACAGGAUUAGAUACCCGCGUAGUCCCUGUCUCUUAUAC
This 304-nucleotide ribosomal RNA is filed under the name uncultured bacterium. RNAcentral describes it as "partial 16S ribosomal RNA". It matches the Rfam family "Bacterial small subunit ribosomal RNA", at positions 506 to 807 of the family's 1533-position model. The record is from RNAcentral.